This 460-nucleotide ribosomal RNA is filed under the name uncultured bacterium. RNAcentral's name for it is "partial 16S ribosomal RNA". It matches the Rfam family "Bacterial small subunit ribosomal RNA", at positions 29 to 523 of the family's 1533-position model. The record is from RNAcentral.
AAUGAACGCUGGCGGCAGGCCUUACACAUGCAAGUCGAACGUGAAAGUCCUUUCCGGGAUGAGUAAAGUGGCGCACGGGUGAGUAACGCGUGGGAACGUACCCUUCAGUAUGGGAUAACAGCGGGACACUGCUGUUAAUACCGUAUAUUCUCGAGAGAGGAAAGAUUUAUCGCUGAAGGAUCGGCCCGCGUCAUUUUAGCUAGCUAGUGGGGUAAUGGCCUACCAAGGCUACGACCUGUAGCCGGGCUGAGAGGAUGAACAGCCACACUGGAACUGAGACACAGUCCAGACUCCUACGGAAGGCGGCAGUGGGGAAUAUUGGACAAUCGAGUAAAGCCUGAUCCAGACAUGCCGGGUGAAUGAUGGAGGCCUUAAGGUUGUAGAGAACUUUUGACGGGGGAGAUAAUGACGGUACCCGUAGAAUAAGCUCCGGCUAACUUCGUGCCAGCCGCCGCCGUAA